Molecule: long non-coding RNA, 210 nt
Organism: Anoplopoma fimbria (sablefish)
Lineage: Eukaryota; Metazoa; Chordata; Actinopteri; Perciformes; Anoplopomatidae
Exons: 3
Source: RefSeq, a predicted model, not a curated record
CUUGUUGAAGACGACAAGAGGGAAAAGAACUACUACGACUAAAGCGAAGUUCGAAAGAGAGAUGGAAACUCGUGGCAAGAAGAGAGGUGAAGGGAGCAGCAAGACUAAAAGACCAUCCAACCCUAACCUGUGUUCCUCUAUGACUGUGCCACCUCAGGAUGAUCAAUCUGUAGAUGAGGUUGGCAUGCAACCGAAGACCAAAAAGGCCAC